Syzygium oleosum is the source of this 1696-nucleotide long non-coding RNA. RefSeq lists it as uncharacterized. The transcript is spliced from 2 exons. Lineage: Eukaryota; Viridiplantae; Streptophyta; Magnoliopsida; Myrtales; Myrtaceae. The record is from RefSeq and is a predicted model, not a curated record.
UAUUAUUUGAUUGAUUAACUGCCUUUAGUAUCGAAAUUUUGUUUCUAAGUUAGUCAAUUUUCAUUUAUUCUCAAUUCUACUAUAAUAUGUUAGAUAAAUUUUAGAAUUAGUCCAUUUUUAAUAUUUAAUUGGUUUACUAAUAAUCAAUCUCUGUGAGACAGUUUAUUGACACGUUCAUUUGGAUUUAGAAUUUUACGAACAGAAAGCUUAUAAAUGGCUUCAAGAAGCAACAACAAUGAACUCCACAUGUUUAAUGAAUAUAAUAUGACCAGUACCUGAUAUUAUGGUACCGGUGUAGACCAAAAUUGGGUUAUUGGUCCAAUUCUGACCUGGUGAUAGACACCAAGAGUUUGUAGGGGUGAUUGGUUCCCGGUCUAAUCCGGUCUAAUGGAACCAAUCACUUUUUUUUUCCACUACUUGAUGCCAUUUUUUCAUGUUAAAUUAAGUGAUAUUCAUGCAAUGAUCCUCAAAUUGGAAAGAUGAAUAAAAAAACGUGCUUCAUUUAAAGUUUAGUUCACAUUUUACUAAUUUUUUUGAAGAAAAAAAGAAAAAAAAGUAUAUAUAAUCAGUCCGAUCCAGUCCGGUUCCCUUUGGAACCGGGAGCCGGACCAUCCGGACAUUGUUUCCACUUUUAGGAACCGGGAACUAGACCAAAUAGGCCGAUCCGGUCCGGUUGGGACGGUUUCGGGUUUGGGCAGUCCGUUUUGUACACCCUAGGAGGCUACAACAUUUCAUUGAUCACCACAAUUCUGUAUGUCUCAUUUUUUUACGAUAAAUUGCAGGAUGAUAUUGAGUACAAGAAUCUCUUAUGUUGUGGUUUCGCUCCUCUCAGGUCUGUUUCUUGCAGCUUAUUCCAUGGUUUUUGGGGUAGAGACGGCGAAAGGUUUCAGAUGGCUCUUUAAAAGGGUUCUCAUAAGUCCUUGAACCGGCAUUUCCCAGCCUUGCAGCAAAUGAAGGACAAAGUUUUGGGUGUGAAUUGGUGGGGACAGUGCUAAUUCUUUUGUUGCUGGGUUCUCUAUGGGCUUUGAGCGGGAGAUUUGUGAGGACGGAAUUGUGCAGAGGAACCGGCGAGCCCAAGCUGUGGUUGGCCUGCAUGGUUGCACCGCUUGGCGUGUGGUAGAGGUGGUUCUAGGCCUGGCUCAAUGGGCGCCGGCUUGGUAUGGCCCGUCACUUGAAAAGGGUUCCUCUGGGCACGUUUCUUGCCAUUGUCUCUGCAGCUUGUGUGAUGGCAGGACUAUCCACGGUGAAGAAGGAAGUCAAACUUAAGCUCUCAGUCGAGGAGGCUCCAUCUUCAAUUCGAAUUGAGAUUUUCUCUCUUCAUCUGAUCUGAGAGUCUUUUAUUGUUCUUAUUUAGUUUUUUUGUUUUUUCUUUGCUCACUUUUGAUACUCUUCUCUGCUCGUUAUGUGUAUCUUCCCCUUCCAUUGUUAGGAAUCAAGUUGCUGCUUCAGAUCCUCCAAACCAAGAGUCUGACAGGAUCAAGGAGGAUUAUGGUGUUUUCAUACUACACUGAAAACGUUUAUACGAAUUUUUUGAGUUUUGGAAACUUUCAUCUCCCAAUUUAAAUCUUGAUCUGGGAGCUCUUAUCUCCCAAUCUACAAUUAGAUGUGGGAGUUCCUUAGAGACGCAUCUAUGUUCAUUCAAUCUCUCCCGAUCUAGAUCUAGAUUUGGGAGCUUGUUCAACAUGUUUUUGGUGUC